AGAGAGAGAGAGCGUGUAUCGAUCUGGAGAGAGGAUAGAGAGAAAAAAAUAGAAGAGAGAGAAAGAGGGGAGAGAGAAGAGAAAGGCACUACAGAGAGAGCGAGAAUUGCCUAUAUUUAAGGAGGGGCAUUUUAGUCUUUUCGUGCAAAAAGUGGGUAAAAUUUUAUAUUUCUAUUCUAGUGGGUAAAGUUUAUUUUUGUUAUAUGAAAGUGAGUAUUUUUAUAUAUUGACACUUUUUAUAAAUAGGUUAUGAAAGUGGAUAGUUUAAAUUUCAACCCUAUAUAUUAAUU
This 290-nucleotide long non-coding RNA is filed under the name Salvia miltiorrhiza (redroot sage). RNAcentral's name for it is "long non-coding RNA (SMIL_LNC003917)". Lineage: Eukaryota; Viridiplantae; Streptophyta; Magnoliopsida; Lamiales; Lamiaceae. The record is from RNAcentral.